This 250-nucleotide ribosomal RNA is filed under the name uncultured bacterium. Its description in RNAcentral is "partial 16S ribosomal RNA". It matches the Rfam family "Bacterial small subunit ribosomal RNA", at positions 524 to 774 of the family's 1533-position model. The record is from RNAcentral.
UACGUAGGGGGCAAGCGUUGUCCGGAAUUAUUGGGCGUAAAGGGUGCGUAGGCGGCUUAUCAAGUCUGUGGUUAAAGUUCGAGGCUCAACUUCGGAUUGCCUUAGAAACUGGUGAGCUAGAGUGCAGGAGAGGGCAAUGGAAUUCCAUGUGUAGCGGUAAAAUGCGUAGAUAUAUGGAGGAACACCAGUGGCGAAGGCGGUUGCCUGGCCUGUAACUGACGCUGAGGCACGAAAGCGUGGGGAGCAAAUA